CUGUCCCCAGCCACAGGCGGGCGGAGGCGGAGCUGGAAAUAGACCUGCUGUGACCCCGGCGCAGCCACACAGUGCGGGCCGCUGGGCCCACACAAAGCCGCCUUGUGUGUUCUGAGUCUGUCACAGGCACCCUCCGGCCCAGCUGUGGGCCUCGCCCUGACCCCGUCCCUGCUGGCUAGCGGAAUGGGCAGGACCGCAGGGAUCCUGUCAUCUGUCACCCAGCAGCCUCCGCCUCUCCUCCCAGGAAGCCACUGAUGAGGCACCCAGGACAAAAACUGCCCUGUGUCCACCUCCUUGGAGGAACGGGACCUGGCCAGGCGGGUCACCAGGCCACGCCCAGAGGCUGAGGCCCUGCCGACCUGGCCCAGCACCUUGAGGAGUGGACAGCCUGGUCCUGCAGACCUGGCCACAGCCGCCACAAGCCUCCCUUGGAGUCUGUGCUCCUCCGUGCUCUUCAGCACCUCACAGGCGGAGCCUUGGGGUCCAGCACCCUCACUGUGCCCUCUGGGGACUGCCAGGGAGAAGAGGAAGCCACCGAGAAAGGGACAGGACAUGUGCACCGUGAUGCCUCUCCUGUGCAGCCCUGGCAGGAGCUGCGAGCAGCAGCUGGGCAGAGCCUCGGGGCUGUGGGUCCAGAGGACGUGCAGGCGCCUCUGCUGGGUCUGGGUCCCAGGCUAGCCCAGCCCUUCUCUGCUGAUACCUCAAGCAUAGGAGCCUGGGAAAUGUUUAAUUUCCCUGAAGAUGUGCUGGCUGACGUAGGCUCUCACAUGGAGCCAUGCCAGGGUUUUCUCUGUAGUUCUUACCACUUGGAACCCACAGACAGCUGUGUUUCCACCUGGGGGCCAGAGCUCCACCCGCAGCCCGCUCCCCCGCUGGCCCGCUCAGGACGACACCAGGCAGCCUCGGGAACCACCCUGCCUGGAGCGGCUACGGGACGGCCUCCUCUGACACACUGGGUAGCAGUCAGGCCUGGGCUCCUGUGUCCCUCAGAUCCAUCCCUGCAGAUCCCUGGGAUUAAAUGUUUUCC
RNAcentral lists this long non-coding RNA (1027 nucleotides) under Chinchilla lanigera (long-tailed chinchilla). RNAcentral's name for it is "lncRNA (ENSCLAG00000029216.1)". The record is from RNAcentral. Lineage: Eukaryota; Metazoa; Chordata; Mammalia; Rodentia; Chinchillidae.